RNAcentral lists this transfer RNA (68 nucleotides) under Marmota monax (woodchuck). Its description in RNAcentral is "tRNA.Ala". The record is from RNAcentral. Lineage: Eukaryota; Metazoa; Chordata; Mammalia; Rodentia; Sciuridae.
GGAUUGUGGCUCAGUGGUAGAGCCCUUGCAUAGCAGGCGUGAGGUGCUGGGUUCGAGUCUCAGCACCA